UGAACGCUGGCGGCAGGCCUAACACAUGCAAGUCGAACGGUACAGGAAGAAGCUUGCUUCUUUGCUGACGAGUGGCGGACGGGUGAGUAAUGUCUGGGAAACUGCCUGAUGGAGGGGGAUAACUACUGGAAACGGUAGCUAAUACCGCAUAACGUCGCAAGACCAAAGAGGGGGACCUUCGGGCCUCUUGCCAUCGGAUGUGCCCAGAUGGGAUUAGCUAGUAGGUGGGGUAACGGCUCACCUAGGCGACGAUCCCUAGCUGGUCUGAGAGGAUGACCAGCCACACUGGAACUGAGACACGGUCCAGACUCCUACGGGAGGCAGCAGUGGGGAAUAUUGCACAAUGGGCGCAAGCCUGAUGCAGCCAUGCCGCGUGUAUGAAGAAGGCCUUCGGGUUGUAAAGUACUUUCAGCGGGGAGGAAGGGAGUAAAGUUAAUACCUUUGCUCAUUGACGUUACCCGCAGAAGAAGCACCGGCUAACUCCGUGCCAGCAGCCGCGGUAAUACGGAGGGUGCAAGCGUUAAUCGGAAUUACUGGGCGUAAAGCGCACGCAGGCGGUUUGUUAAGUCAGAUGUGAAAUCCCCGGGCUCAACCUGGGAACUGCAUCUGAUACUGGCAAGCUUGAGCCUCGUAGAGGGGGGUAGAAUUCCAGGUGUAGCGGUGAAAUGCGUAGAGAUCUGGAGGAAUACCGGUGGCGAAGGCGGCCCCCUGGACGAAGACUGACGCUCAGGUGCGAAAGCGUUGGGGAGCAAACAGG
This 757-nucleotide ribosomal RNA is filed under the name uncultured Pseudomonadota bacterium. RNAcentral's name for it is "bacterial SSU rRNA". It matches the Rfam family "Bacterial small subunit ribosomal RNA", at positions 30 to 776 of the family's 1533-position model. The record is from RNAcentral. Lineage: Bacteria; Pseudomonadati; Pseudomonadota.